RNAcentral lists this unclassified non-coding RNA (607 nucleotides) under Lacticaseibacillus zeae. RNAcentral describes it as "partial 16S-23S ribosomal RNA intergenic spacer". Lineage: Bacteria; Bacillati; Bacillota; Bacilli; Lactobacillales; Lactobacillaceae. The record is from RNAcentral.
GGUGAGGUCCGGUGUGUAACCGCGGUGAUACGGGGCAUAACUAUUAGGUUUCUCCCCCACCUUGGGAGGUUUGUCGGCCCAAACUCCUACGGGAGGCCCCCUCGGGAAUCUUCCUAAUGGACGCGGUUGCGCUCGAUCCACGACUCAUGACUGAUAACGCUAUCGGGUCUGACAACUCCCAUGCAGCACCAGUCAGUUUGGCCCCGAAGGUGAGGCCGGCUCGAUCGUAUCCGCCAAAAAAGUCUGUACCAACUAGGUGCCGUCCCCCGCGUUAAUACAAAAGAGGCAACUGCUCCCCCGAUUUAGGGGGCCUCCAGCAAUCCCUUGCGGUUUUUUCCCUGCGGUCGUAAACCCCCCCGGGCAAAAGCUUAAGAAGCCCAUCCGCAGCCUGUGGAAGGUUGAAACCCCACCAACAACUAUGAAACUCCCGUGUGUAGCGGGUGACUAGCGUGGAAUCUAGUCCUGAUUCCCAAUGGCCUGAGGUCGCGCCCCGGCUCUCUAUUACACACCAGACGCUCGCCAUCGCCGCUGGUGAUCUGCCAUAUAUCCCCGCGUUUUACCGCCACAAAUGGGAUUUACGCUGUGCUUUUUCAGGGCUCCCGGUCUC